RNAcentral lists this ribosomal RNA (572 nucleotides) under Trichoderma virens. Its description in RNAcentral is "eukaryotic LSU rRNA". The stretch from base 201 to 354 matches the Rfam family "5.8S ribosomal RNA". The record is from RNAcentral. Lineage: Eukaryota; Fungi; Ascomycota; Sordariomycetes; Hypocreales; Hypocreaceae.
CCGAGUUUACAACUCCCAAACCCAAUGUGAACGUUACCAAACUGUUGCCUCGGCGGGAUCUCUGCCCCGGGUGCGUCGCAGCCCCGGACCAAGGCGCCCGCCGGAGGACCAACCAAAACUCUUAUUGUAUACCCCCUCGCGGGUUUUUUACUAUCUGAGCCAUCUCGGCGCCCCUCGUGGGCGUUUCGAAAAUGAAUCAAAACUUUCAACAACGGAUCUCUUGGUUCUGGCAUCGAUGAAGAACGCAGCGAAAUGCGAUAAGUAAUGUGAAUUGCAGAAUUCAGUGAAUCAUCGAAUCUUUGAACGCACAUUGCGCCCGCCAGUAUUCUGGCGGGCAUGCCUGUCCGAGCGUCAUUUCAACCCUCGAACCCCUCCGGGGGGUCGGCGUUGGGGAUCGGCCCUUUACGGGGCCGGCCCCGAAAUACAGUGGCGGUCUCGCCGCAGCCUCUCCUGCGCAGUAGUUUGCACACUCGCAUCGGGAGCGCGGCGCGUCCACAGCCGUUAAACACCCCAAACUUCUGAAAUGUUGACCUCGGAUCAGGUAGGAAUACCCGCUGAACUUAAGCAUAUAA